UCGGGAACACCCGAACGUCUGUGAGCUGACCGCAAGGAGGCAGCAGCCGAAGGUGGGUUCGAUGAUUGGGGUUAAGUCGUAACAAGGUAAC
RNAcentral lists this ribosomal RNA (91 nucleotides) under uncultured bacterium. Its description in RNAcentral is "partial 16S ribosomal RNA". The record is from RNAcentral.